GUCGAACGCGAACGAGAAACUAAUUCGUUAGGCGUCUUUAGUAGAGUGGCGAACGGGUGAGUAACGCGUGAACAACAUACCUCUCAGAGGGGAAUAACACAGGGAAACCUGUGCUAAUACCGCAUACGUCAACUUAAUAAUUUUAUAUUGAUAAAAGGUGGGGACCUUCGGGCCUGCCACUGAGAGAUUGGUUCGCGUCCCAUUAGCUAGUUGGUAGGGUAACGGCCUACCAAGGCGACGAUGGGUAGCCGGCCUGAGAGGGCGACCGGCCACACUGGGAUUGAGAUACGGCCCAGACUCCUUCGGGAGGCAGCAGUCGAGAAUCUUCCACAAUGGGCGAAAGUCUGAUGGAGCGACGCCGCGUGAGGGAUUAAGGCUUUCUGAGUCGUAAACCUCUGUCGGGAGAGAUGAAUAGUCAUUGUAUUAAUAGUACAUAGACCUGACGUUAUCUCCAAAGGAAGCUCCGGCUAACCCGUGCCAGCAGCCGCGGUAAUACGGGGGGAGCAAGCGUUGUCCGGAAUCAUUGGGCGUAAAGGGCGUGUAGGUGGUUUUGUAAGUCGAAUGUGAAAUCUCACGGCUCAACCGUGAAACUGCGUUCGAAACUACGAGACUUGAGUUUGGGAGAGGUGUACGGAAUUCCUGGUGUAGCGGUGGAAUGCGUAGAUAUCAGGAAGAACACCAAUGGCGAAGGCAGUACACUGGCCU
RNAcentral lists this ribosomal RNA (705 nucleotides) under uncultured bacterium. RNAcentral's name for it is "bacterial SSU rRNA". It matches the Rfam family "Bacterial small subunit ribosomal RNA", at positions 61 to 735 of the family's 1533-position model. The record is from RNAcentral.